CGGGGUUUAGCGCAGUUGGUAGCGCGCUACGUUCGGGACGUAGAGGUCGGGCGUUCGAGUCGCCUAACCCCGA
RNAcentral lists this transfer RNA (73 nucleotides) under Clostridium sp. RNAcentral's name for it is "tRNA-Pro". It matches the Rfam family "tRNA". Rfam says of the family: Transfer RNA (tRNA) molecules are approximately 80 nucleotides in length. Their secondary structure includes four short double-helical elements and three loops (D, anti-codon, and T loops). Lineage: Bacteria; Bacillati; Bacillota; Clostridia; Eubacteriales; Clostridiaceae. The record is from RNAcentral. RNAcentral also lists the same sequence under 7 other names.